RNAcentral lists this ribosomal RNA (439 nucleotides) under Aggregatibacter actinomycetemcomitans. RNAcentral's name for it is "bacterial SSU rRNA". It matches the Rfam family "Bacterial small subunit ribosomal RNA", at positions 45 to 473 of the family's 1533-position model. Lineage: Bacteria; Pseudomonadati; Pseudomonadota; Gammaproteobacteria; Pasteurellales; Pasteurellaceae. The record is from RNAcentral.
GGCUUAACACAUGCAAGUCGGACGGUAGCAGGUAAGUACUUGUACUUAUGCUGACGAGUGGCGGACGGGUGAGUAAUGCUUGGGAAUCUGUCUUAUGGAGGGGGAUAACGACGGGAAACUGUCGCUAAUACCGCGUAGAAUCGGGAGAUGAAAGUGUGGGACCUUCGGGCCACAUGCCAUAGGAUGAGCCCAAGUGUGAUUAGGUAGUUGGUGGGGUAAAGGCCUACCAAGCCGACGAUCGCUAGCUGGUCUGAGAGGAUGGCCAGCCACACCGGGACUGAGACACGGCCCGGACUCCUACGGGAGGCAGCAGUGGGGAAUAUUGCGCAAUGGGGGCAACCCUGACGCAGCCAUGCCGCGUGAAUGAAGAAGGCCUUCGGGUUGUAAAGUUCUUUCGGUGAUGAGGAAGGUUGGUGUGUUAAUAGCAUGCCAAAUUGAC